Molecule: ribosomal RNA, 234 nt
Filed under: uncultured bacterium
Lineage: Bacteria
Description: partial 16S ribosomal RNA
Rfam family: Bacterial small subunit ribosomal RNA
Source: RNAcentral
CGGGGUGAGUAACGCGUGAGGAACCUGCCUUGAAGAGGGGGACAACAGUUGGAAACGACUGCUAAUACCGCAUAAGCAUAGGGGUCGGCAUCGAGCAGAGGGAAAAGGAGUGAUCCGCUUUGAGAUGGCCUCGCGUCCGAUUAGCUGGUUGGUGAGGUAACGGCCCACCAAGGCGACGAUCGGUAGCCGGACUGGGAGGUUGAACGGCCACAUUGGGACUGAGACACGGCCCAG